RNAcentral lists this ribosomal RNA (396 nucleotides) under Draco rhytisma. RNAcentral describes it as "partial small subunit ribosomal RNA". Lineage: Eukaryota; Metazoa; Chordata; Lepidosauria; Squamata; Agamidae. The record is from RNAcentral.
AAACUGGGAUUAGAUACCCCACUAUGCCUGACUGUAAACUACCAGCCAAAAAAGUACGAGCCCCGCUAGAAACUUAAAGGACCUGGCGGUACUCUAUAUCAACCUAGAGGGGCCUGUCCUAUAACCGAUAAUCCACGAAAAACCUUGCCAUCUCUUGCCACCCAGCCUAUAUACCGCCGUCUCCAGCACAUUUUCCGAGAAAUGAAGCCAAACAGUCUCACACACUAAUACGUCAGGUCAAGGUGUAGCUUAUGAGAUGGAAGAGGCGGACCACAAUACCACAACACACGAAAACCCCGUUGAAACACGGGGAAAAAGACGAAUUUAGCAGUAAGUGGAACAGAAUGCCCCACUGAACCACCCGCCCUAGAGUACGCACACACCGCCCGUCACCCU